Molecule: ribosomal RNA, 204 nt
Filed under: uncultured bacterium
Lineage: Bacteria
Description: partial 16S ribosomal RNA
Rfam family: Bacterial small subunit ribosomal RNA
Source: RNAcentral
GACGAACGCUGGCGGCGUGCUUAACACAUGCAAGUCGAGCGGUAAGGCCCUUUCGGGGGGUACACGAGCGGCGAACGGGUGAGUAACACGUGGGUGACCUGCCCGUCAGCUCUGGGGAUAAGCCUGGGAAACUGGGUCUAAUACUGGAUAUGACUCCACGGUGCAUGUCGUGGGGUGGAAAGCCUUGUAGCGGCUGAGGAUGGG